Cervus elaphus (red deer) is the source of this 601-nucleotide long non-coding RNA. RefSeq lists it as uncharacterized. The transcript is spliced from 5 exons. The record is from RefSeq and is a predicted model, not a curated record. NCBI's taxonomy places the organism in Eukaryota, Metazoa, Chordata, Mammalia, Artiodactyla, Cervidae.
UGUCAAGUUCAACAUCACUUUAAUAUUUGCUAAGUGAACAAACAAUAACUGGAUGGAAAGCUGAUAUCAAAUAAAACUGCUCAUCUUCCUUGAAGACUUGAAGUGAAGUAUGUCCAUGGAAGUCUCUUAAGAAAAAACAAGAUGUGGAAACUGCAGCUCAGAGUUCAGAUCCCCACUAUGCAAAGGGUCAUCCGCGAGCAACAGCAACAGCAUUACCUGGGAACAUCGCCUACUGUCUUACUGGAGUGGCGACCAGCGGCUGCAUGGUACUAGAGCAGCUUGCGUCAGAGAAGAGAUACCCCACGUCCAAGGUCAGGAGCAGCGGCCAAGAGGAGAUACCCCACAUCCAAGGUCAGGAGUGGAGCCCGUGAGGAAAUACCCUAUAUCCAAGAGCACAUCAUAAGAAAUGCUGGGCUGGAUGAGUUACAAGCUGGAAUCAAGAUUUCUGGGAGACACAUCAACAAUAUGCAGAGGAUACCACCCUAACAGCAGAAAGAAAAAGAGGAAAUAAAGACCCUCUUGAUGAGGGUGAAGGAGAAGAGUGAAAAAACCCGGCUUAAAACGCAAUAUUUAAAAAAAAAAAAAAAAACUAAGAUCAUGA